AAUAGAUACCCGGGUAGUCCACGCCCUAAACGAUGUCUACUAGUUGUCGGGUCUUCAUUGACUUGGUAACGCAGCUAACGCGUGAAGUAGACCGCCUGGGGAGUACGGUCGCAAGAUUAAAACUCAAAGGAAUUGACGGGGGACCCGCACAAGCGGUGGAUGAUGUGGAUUAAUUCGAUGCAACGCGAAAAACCUUACCUACCCUUGACAUGGUCGGAACCCUGGAGAGAUUCGGGGGUGCUCGAAAGAGAGCCGAUACACAGGUGCUGCAUGGCUGUCGUCAGCUCGUGUCGUGAGAUGUUGGGUUAAGUCCCGCAACGAGCGCAACCCUUGUCAUUAGUUGCUACGAAAGGGCACUCUAAUGAGACUGCCGGUGACAAACCGGAGGAAGGUGGGGAUGACGUCAAGUCCUCAUGGCCCUUAUGGGUAGGGCUUCACACGUCAUACAAUGGUGCAUACAGAGGGUUGCCAACCCGCGAGGGGGAGCCAAUCCCAGAAAGUGCAUCGUAGUCCGGAUUGCAGU
RNAcentral lists this ribosomal RNA (523 nucleotides) under uncultured bacterium. RNAcentral describes it as "bacterial SSU rRNA". It matches the Rfam family "Bacterial small subunit ribosomal RNA", at positions 777 to 1304 of the family's 1533-position model. The record is from RNAcentral.